This 798-nucleotide ribosomal RNA is filed under the name uncultured bacterium. Its description in RNAcentral is "bacterial SSU rRNA". It matches the Rfam family "Bacterial small subunit ribosomal RNA", at positions 638 to 1436 of the family's 1533-position model. The record is from RNAcentral.
UGACUNGAGUGCAGAAGGGGAGAGUGGAAUUCCAUGUGUAGCGGUGAAAUGCGUAGAUAUAUGGAGGAACACCAGUGGCGAAAGCGGCUCUCUGGUCUGUCACUGACGCUGAGGCUCGAAAGCGUGGGUAGCGAACAGGAUUAGAUACCCUGGUAGUCCACGCCGUAAACGAUGAGUGCUAGGUGUUAGGCCCUUUCCGGGGCUUAGUGCCGGAGCUAACGCAAUAAGCACUCCGCCUGGGGAGUACGACCGCAAGGUUGAAACUCAAAGGAAUUGACAGGGGCCCGCACAAGCGGUGGAGCAUGUGGUUUAAUUCGAAGCAACGCGAAGAACCUUACCAGGUCUUGACAUCCCGAUGCUAUUCUUAGAGAUAGGAAGUUACUUCGGUACAUCGGAGACAGGUGGUGCAUGGUUGUCGUCAGCUCGUGUCGUGAGAUGUUGGGUUAAGUCCCGCAACGAGCGCAACCCUUAUUGUUAGUUGCCAUCAUUAAGUUGGGCACUCUAGCGAGACUGCCGGUAAUAAACCGGAGGAAGGUGGGGAUGACGUCAAAUCAUCAUGCCCCUUAUGACCUGGGCUACACACGUGCUACAAUGGUCGGUACAACGAGUUGCGAGCCGGUGACGGCAAGCUAAUCUCUGAAAGCCGAUCUCAGUUCGGAUUGGAGGCUGCAACUCGCCUCCAUGAAGUCGGAAUCGCUAGUAAUCGCGGAUCAGCACACCGCGGUGAAUACGUUCCGGGGCCUUGUACACACCGCCCGUCACACCACGAGAGUUUGUAGCACGCGAAGUCGGUGAGGU